This 502-nucleotide ribosomal RNA is filed under the name uncultured bacterium. Its description in RNAcentral is "bacterial SSU rRNA". It matches the Rfam family "Bacterial small subunit ribosomal RNA", at positions 30 to 504 of the family's 1533-position model. The record is from RNAcentral.
UGAACGCUGGCGGCGUGCUUAACACAUGCAAGUCGCACGAGAAAUCUUUAGCUUGCUAAAGAUAGUAAAGUGGCGCACGGGUGAGUAACGCGUGGGUAAUCUGCCUUCGAAUCGGGGAUAACAUUGCGAAAGCGAUGCUAAUACCGGAUAACAUCACAAGUACCUCGGUAUUUGUGAUCAAAAGUGGCCUCUACAUGUAAGCUACUGUUUGAAGAUGAGCCCGCGUACCAUUAGCUUGUUGGUAGGGUAAUGGCCUACCAAGGCAACGAUGGUUAGCUGGUCUGAGAGGAUGAUCAGCCACACUGGAACUGACACACGGUCCAGACUCCUACGGGAGGCAGCAGUGAGGAAUCUUGCGCAAUGGGGGAAACCCUGACGCAGCAACGCCGCGUGAGUGAUGAAGGCUUUCGGGUCGUAAAACUCUGUCAAGUGGGAAGAAACUAUUUCGUGCUAAUAUCACGUAAUACUGACGGUACCACUGAAGGAAGCACCGGCUAACUCC